Molecule: long non-coding RNA, 1642 nt
Filed under: Homo sapiens (human)
Lineage: Eukaryota; Metazoa; Chordata; Mammalia; Primates; Hominidae
Description: HSALNT0359640
Source: RNAcentral
AGAACUGGCAGCUGUUAGGAGAAGACGGGGUGAUUUGCAGAUGGCAGUCCUGGACUUGGAAGUGCAGAUGUGGGGCCCCAGGAACACUCAAGAGGGGCUAGUUGUUGCCGGUGGGAAGCCAAGCCCAGGUGCCUCCGGGUUCAGGUGACUGGAAAAGCCAGGGCAGGACUGGAGUAUUACUUAUCGGAGCUGCGUCUGACACCGGCCCGACACCUCGUAAAAUAGGGAACUGCGCCUCUCUGCCUCACCCCGCGCCGCUCGCCAGGCCACCAAGCCGGGAAAGGCGGAGCGAGGGGAAGCCGAACAAGCGGGAUCGGCCGUCCGCGCGCGGAGGGGUUCCUAGACUGGAGAGCAGAAACUACCCGCGUCCCGGGACUUGGCAAGCCCCGUCGAGCCCCGGGACACAACGGGGAAGGGAGAGACAAAGCCGAGCCGCCUCUCCUGGCCAGCCCGGAACCGAAAGUGGGUCCGUAGAGAGCCCAGAGUCCUGGGGGAACAGAUGGGCAAAGGGCUCUAGGAGGUGAUGGAACUCAGGCCCGAAGGGCAGGCAGCCCACAGGAUACCAAGCCUUAACGAACUACGCCAGAAGAAUGGGCGUAGGGCCCACAGCCCCUCACACAACCCAGGCCAAGCUCCCUCGUACACUCAGACCAGGAGAAGAAACAGACACGCAAUACACAAGCCCCGCUCCCUUGGAGCCUACACUUGGGCGAACACACCACUGCUGUUUGCAGUAUCCCGAGACAGGCCCGGCAGGCGUGAGCUAAGAGGCCUCGGGCCCGAACUUGGGAUUUGAGGCUCUCUCACAUCGCCGGUCCCAGCGGCAGCGCCUGAGGCACAGCCAAGACCAUCCGAGGUCCCCGGGCCGCGCGCAGGUAGCAGACUUCUUCAGAACUGGGGGAGCUAAAGAGAGAGUGGGCUUAGAGCCCAGGCCUCCCUGGAUCCCAGAUCCUCGCCUCCGCCUACAGCCAAGCCCCUCAGCUUUUGCCCAGAGCUGCUGACUUCCUCGCCGCCUCCCUGCGCAAUGGGACCUAGAGAUAAGCCCCAAGCCCGGGUGCUAGUCCAGGCAGAGUCGGGUGCUAGUCCAGGCAGAGUCCAGUGCUAGUCCGCGGCCUCAACAGAGCUGUCGGCUGGGCUCCGGAAGCCCACCCGGAACCUGAUGGAGGCAGCGAAUUCCUCAGAGCAGAGGACACUGCGGAGAGGCUCGAAUCCACUUCCCACAUUGUGCGGGACCGAGCGCGCAGGGCGCUCUCGCGUGGCCUCCUUAGCUCGGGUUCAGCCGAGGCUCUCACGUACACUUCGUUACCCCUUCCCCCCGCCGCAGCUCUGGUCCUUCCUUCCACUGGCUCUCUUCUCUGGCCUAUGGAAACAACGAACUACUUUUCGCCUUUCAAGGCCCGGGUCCCAAGCCACCUCCUCUGUGAAGCCGCCAACACCCUGGUAGCUGCCUCUCAGUGUUUUGCAACUGGCACGGCCCUGUCCCUCGGUCCGCUUCUACUAGCGCUGGGGGUGCUGCGAGUCUUGCCCACUAGACUAGGAGCUCCUUGAGGGCAGGAACCGAAUCUGAUUCGUUUCCAUUUUCCCAGCCCCCCUGCGCGGCCUGGCGCAGAAAAGACGCGCAAUAAACAUUUGCUGAAUUGAA